GAUGAACGCUAGCGGCAGGCUUAACACAUGCAAGUCGAGGGGCAGCGCGAUGUAGCAAUACAUUGGCGGCGACCGGCGCACGGGUGCGUAACACGUAUGGAACUUACCCUUUACUGGGAGAUAGCCCGGAGAAAUCCGGAUUAAUAUCCCAUAAUAAACGAAGUGGCAUCACUUUGUUUUGAAAGCUCCGGCGGUAAAGGAUGGCCAUGCGCACGAUUAGCUAGUAGGUGAGGUAACGGCUCACCUAGGCUACGAUCGUUAGGGGGCCUGAGAGGGUUAUCCCCCACACUGGUACUGAGACACGGACCAGACUCCUACGGGAGGCAGCAGUGAGGAAUAUUGCGCAAUGGAGGCAACUCUGACGCAGCCAUGCCGCGUGCAGGAAGAAGGCGCUACGCGUUGUAAACUGCUUUUAACCGGGAAGAAACCCUCCGACGUGUCGGAGGUUGACGGUACCGGAGGAAUAAGCACCGGCUAACUUCGUGCCAGCAGCCGCGGUAAAGUAGACG
This 509-nucleotide ribosomal RNA is filed under the name uncultured bacterium. RNAcentral's name for it is "bacterial SSU rRNA". It matches the Rfam family "Bacterial small subunit ribosomal RNA", at positions 28 to 531 of the family's 1533-position model. The record is from RNAcentral.